AUGAUGUCACCACACGUAGACGCGAGAAGGGGCGGGCCGUUGCUCAGUGCCGUCCCAGCAGCCAAUCAGCAGCAGAGCAGGUGUUGCGCACCUGCGGGGGGUGUGGCCUGGCCCGGGAGGGGGCGGGGCCGCGGCGCUCCAGCUGCAGGUCCGGACGCCUGCGCUCCACGCCUGGCCCUGAGGAUGAAGGACGGUUUGGGCAGCUCUGGACAGAGGAGCGUGAGCUUCUCCGCCUGUGACAUGGGCACGGCCCCUCUGCUGUCUUCCUCGUGGAGUAGCUGUGAGGAUCAGCUACAAGGAAGUGCUGGAAUGGGCUAUGUUCCUCUGGCUCCACACCAGUUGUUCUCUCUGCUCUUUCCCCACUUCCUCACCUGGGAAAAUUCAGCCCAGGUGUCCUCUCCUCUGGCAUUCUCCGUUGGCCUCUUCUAUGUUUAUCCAAAUGCCUCCCCACCAUUGCCUCAUGGACUGCGGUAGUGGCUUCAGUCACAGACUCUGGAGUCUGACCACCCGGUCAAGUCCCAGCUCUGCUCUUCCAUCACCGUGUGACCCUGGGCAAGUCACCUGACUUGGUUUUCCCUGCUGUAAAACAGAACUAAAAGCAGUAGCUAGCUCAUUUACAUCAUCUUGUGUGCAACUCCUCAUGCCAUGCUUGGCACAUAGUAAGCGCCCAAGUAGGGGGAGCUAUUUUGCUUAUCUGUCCCAUAAUUAUUGGUUUCUAGACUCCUCCACUAACCGCAAGCUUUUCAAGGGCAGGCACGGUCUUCAUUCAUCUGUAUUUUUUCUCCACGAUGUCUGGUACAGAAGCAGGCACACAGCGGCUGCUCAAUAGCAGCCAAACACAUGAAUGGAAAUCCAGUCCCACAUUGGCUGGGAGGGUCCUUCCACAGCACGAGUGAACACCCAGCACUGUGUGAGUGAGUUUCCCUUGCAUGUCACUCUUCUCCCUUGAACCAGAUGGUAAGUUCUUGGGGAUAAGGGAAGCAAGGCCGUCCUUUCCUUUGGCAGCGGUGCCAGUCACUGAGCCUGGUACACCAGGGCCCUGGUGGGGGGGCCUGAAAGGUGACUCUGGGGGUGCUGUCCGCGGUGCUGAAGAGAACUGACAAGUGACUAAUUCUUCUGCCUGAGAUGGAUGCUGGGAUUUGCUUCAGGGCAGCCAGGAAUGGAUUGUUCAUCUCCAAAUCUCAGCCAGCACAUUUUGUUCUGACAUUUCCUUGGCACCUUUGCCAAUGACGUGAUGUUUCCCGUGCGGCUCUUUCCCCUGCCUUCCAAAUUCCUUGGAGAACUGUCAUGAUGUUCCCCACCAUCCUCUCCCACAGCUGUAGGCACCUCCAAACUUGGAUGCAUCACCCAGAGACCCAUAUUAAAAGAGACUGAAAUGUGACUUUUCUUUGAUAGCAAAAUUUUAGAAUUUCAGUGGAUGUGCAAGGGAACUGAGGCUUAGCCCGGUGAGGGGGAUUUGUUUAAGGUCACAUCGUCAAGAAGGGAGAGAACUCAGGAUGGACAGGAAUCUUCAAAUUCACAAGCUUUUGAUAUGUUAUGAUGCCAGGAUGCUAUAGGCAGACAUAUGGGGUCGCCCACAGGAUGGAGGUCAGAGUGUUUCUAUUUAGCUGAAGGAGAUGUCUUUGGUUUAAGCUGAAGGAAACCAAAUCCCCUGGCCCCACCUUCAACCCAUUGACCUCCCAACCGCCCUGCAAGGGUGGCAUUGCCAUUGUCCCCACGUUCCAGAUGAGAAGACAGAGGCCCAGAGGGAUGAGACCGCCAUUGCGAGGCUACACAGCUGCCUCCCUGCCACGGUUGGUGUGAAGAUGGUGUGAGGCACGCAGGCAGGAGUGGAGUUCCUGAAGCAGGCCUGGCAGAGGAUGUGCUUGGAAAUCACACAUCUUCUUUCUUCUCCUGAAGGAAAGGAUCCUCACAUUUCAGAGUGGGAAGGAGCCUCUCUGCUCACGCCACCCAGCGCCUCUGUGAUUUCACAGCCUUCAAGCACAUUCUCCUGAGAAGAUAAUGGGAAAGACGAUGAAAAGCAAAGCCAGUGAAGUGGCUGCCUGGAAGGCAACAGGCUGCUGCUUAGCAAGUGUGGUGAAAGGAUGGGCUGAACAGGAGGCAUUAAGGACAUCUGAGGAUACCUCUUAUCUCCAUGUGGCCAGGCCUGACCAGGAUAAUGAAAACCCACUGGACUCCACCCAGGAGUCAAAUCCAGUCUCACAAUUUAGAGCUCGGGGAUCACAGUUUGAGUCACCUGUGAUCUAAGAACCUCACUUCCAGAUGGGAAACACCUAAGAGUGUCAAGAAGGCAUGAAUGUGAGGACCCACGUAAAGCAUCCUGCACGGUGGCUGGCACAUAGUAGGCACUCAAUAAAUGUCAGUUAAUUUGCUUGUCAUUUCUUGUCCUUCCAACCUCACCGAUAUUUAUUCAUCAAGUAUUUAUUGAGCACUUACUAUGUAUGGGGUGCUAUUCUGAGUCCUGGUGACCUGUCAGUCAACAUGCUAGGUGCCUGCUCUCAUGGACUUGACGUUUUACCAGAGAAAUCAGAAGAAAAGAAGUAAAUAAUCAAGAAAAUGGUAGCUAUCGGUAAGUGCCAGAAAAGAACAUUGAGCUUUAUUUUGAUAGGGAGUGGAAGGUGAUACCUCCUAUUUAGAUAAGAGAGUUGGGGUGGGCCCUUCUGAGGAGAUAACAAUGAGCAGAGGCCUCGAUGAGGAUCUGGAGGGGAGAGCAUUCUAGGCAGAGGGAACAGCCAGUGCAAAGGUCCUGAGGUGGGUACCAAUUUGGUGCCCUGAAAAGGAGGCCAGUAUGACACGUGUAGGCAGCAAGAGGUGGGAGAGGUGGGCAGGGACCCGAACAGGUAAGACCUCCUGGGCCCCGGUGAGACACAUACAUAUAUUUACCUUCUCCCAGUCUUGACGGCCCUUCAGUUCUUGGAAACUUCUACUUUUCAGAGCCUGUUGUUAGGCUGUAAAAUCAGUUCACCCUGGAGGUUGGGGUGGGGGCCUUUAAUCUUAGUAAUGAACCUCUGCCCUAGGUGCUGACCUUAAAAUUCAGAACAAGAAAGGUCCUUGGAGAUAGUUUACAAGUUGGAAACUUUCAUUGCUCCAGGGGAUCAACUGAAGCCCAGAGGCAGAAAAUGACUUGCCUAAGGUCAUACUAUAAGUUACAGAUGCUACCAGUUAGGAUUAUAUACCUCUACAAGUGACAAGAAAACCCCCAAAUUGGUAGCUUAAAAAGCUCAUUUCUCUCUCCAGUAAACAGAGAGGUAGGCACUCUAGGCUGGUACAGCAGCUCCACGAUCAUCAGGGACCUAGGGUGCUCCUAAUUUGCUUUACCAUUUUCAACCGUAACUUCCACCUCAUGACCCAAGGUGGCUGCCCCAGGUGCAGUGAUCAUGUCUGCAUUCCAGAGAAACACAAGAGUUGAAAAAGAACAUACCCUGCCCCAAAAAGACAUGUCCUCGGUGUUGUGAUUAUAUUGCAUUGGCCAGAACUCGGUCAUGUGCCCACACCUACCUGCAAAGGAGGCAGGAAAUGUAGUCUUUCCACGGGACAGCUAUGUGCCCAGCCCCGAGUUCGGGCUGCCACUCAUCAGGAAGAAGGGGAGAAGAGAUAGUGAGGCCAGCGGGCCAGCUCUGCGACAGUGCCACAGGUGAGACUGGAAUCCACGUGUCCUGACACCCUGGUGUUCUCCGCACUGCACUUUGCCCCAGGCAGCCCCCACCAUGAUGAGCACAUAGCAGCCAGAUAUAGGGGAACCUCUGUGGACGGUGGCCUGGAGGAAGUAGGGGAAGGGGAGGGCCAGCAGGGGAGGAGCCAUGGCAGAGGGAGC
RNAcentral lists this long non-coding RNA (3814 nucleotides) under Canis lupus familiaris (dog). RNAcentral describes it as "lncRNA (ENSCAFG00040020360.1)". Lineage: Eukaryota; Metazoa; Chordata; Mammalia; Carnivora; Canidae. The record is from RNAcentral.